GGGCUAGUGGUGCAAUGGAUAGCGCAUCUGACUACAGAUCAGAAGAUUGCAGGUUCAGCUCCUGCCUGGUUCG
RNAcentral lists this transfer RNA (73 nucleotides) under Alligator mississippiensis (American alligator). Its description in RNAcentral is "tRNA-Cys (ACA) (tRNA-Cys-ACA-3-1)". It matches the Rfam family "tRNA". Rfam says of the family: Transfer RNA (tRNA) molecules are approximately 80 nucleotides in length. Lineage: Eukaryota; Metazoa; Chordata; Crocodylia; Alligatoridae. The record is from Rfam by way of RNAcentral.